ACCAGGGUGAAACUCAAGACGGACAUUACGCUUCUGCUCCUCCUGAUGAAUCCAGCCUCACAUAUUCUGUGGUCGAGCUCAAACACCUUAAAAAGAAGGAGAAGCACGAUGAACCAGACGAGAGCCCCGUUUACUCGGAUGUGAGGAUCCCAUCAGCUGCAGGAAAAUCCAGAUGUGCAGCAGAAGAGGAAACUCUUUAUUCUGAAGUCAAACCAGGAACAUCUGAUCAAUAAAGACGUCCGUGUGGACAAAACCACCGACAUGAAAAACAAUCUCUUCAGGAUAUAAGAUGUGUCCUUAAACAGCUACAGAGCAGACAGCUUGGUGUUCUGUGGAAGCCUCUUCCCUUGUUGUAGUCUGCUUUGGAUGGAUGAGGUUCUGGUUAAAAAGGAUCAUGUGAUCUUUGCAGGUUUCUUCAUCGUAUCCAGAGAGGUAGAGUCCAAAAAAAGAGCGUUGAUCUUUCUUUCCCCGAUACGUUAGCGUAGCAUAGAGCCAUGAUACUUCCCCCGGGGACACGAGAACCCUUCAUCUCAUGGAGCCAUUUGAUUAUCUGACAAACAGUUUUACGACAAAGUUUUGUUUUUGUUGCUGCUUAUUAUAUAUUAUAAUUACAGUCUGCUGAGUGCUACUGAAAUUCAUUUUAAAUGUUAGAUAUAGUCUGAAGUAGCAUAAAGUCUUUUGCUUGCAUCCUUAAAUCCCUAUAAUACUUUUUUUCCAGUAAAAGUGGAUAAAUAGAAUCUCACAUGGAGUGUUUGUCUCUUUUCUGCCUGAGAUUGUAUAUUUUUUCCUGCAUACUUACAGACGUCUGGAGAUGUCAGAAGACUUUUAGUGCUGCAAAAAUAAUGGAUCCAUUUCAAAGGGAAUGUUAGCAACUGAUGUCUGUAAGAAAGCAAACAUCAAAAGCUUUAAGACUAAUCAGCAAACUCCUGCCAUCCUUCUUCAUCGUACUGAGAGAUCUAAAUAUUAUCUAUUAGUUACUGAACACAGCUUUGUUAUGGAGAACUGAACUCAAUUGAAAACAUUAAAUUCCCAUUAAGGGAUUUUUAUCCUCGAAAAAAACUGCAGAUUUUCCAAUAAAAUCCACUAAAAUACCAUUUAA
This is a non-coding RNA of Gasterosteus aculeatus aculeatus (three-spined stickleback), 1099 nucleotides long. Lineage: Eukaryota; Metazoa; Chordata; Actinopteri; Perciformes; Gasterosteidae. The record is from RefSeq and is a predicted model, not a curated record.